This 484-nucleotide ribosomal RNA is filed under the name uncultured bacterium. Its description in RNAcentral is "partial 16S ribosomal RNA". It matches the Rfam family "Bacterial small subunit ribosomal RNA", at positions 29 to 507 of the family's 1533-position model. The record is from RNAcentral.
AGUGAACGCUGGCGGCAGGCCUAACACAUGCAAGUCGAGCGGCAGCGGGUCCUUCGGGAUGCCGGCGAGCGGCGGACGGGUGAGGAAUGCGUCGGAAUCUGCCUUUUUGUGGGGGAUAACGUAGGGAAACUUACGCUAAUACCGCAUACGACCUACGGGUGAAAGUGGGGGACCGCAAGGCCUCACGCAGAAAGAUGAGCCGACGUCGGAUUAGCUAGUUGGCGGGGUAAAGGCCUACCAAGGCGACGAUCCGUAGCUGGUCUGAGAGGAUGAUCAGCCACACUGGAACUGAGACACGGUCCAGACUCCUACGGGAGGCAGCAGUGGGGAAUAUUGGACAAUGGGCGCAAGCCUGAUCCAGCCAUGCCGCGUGUGUGAAGGAGGCCUUCGGGUUGUAAAGCACUUUUGUCCGGAAAGAAAUCCUGUCGGCUAAUACCCGGCGGGGAUGACGGUACCGGAAGAAUAAGCACCGGCUAACUUCGUG